AUGGGAAGUAUUAGAAUUUUUUUUGACUACAUCAAGGAAGAAAAUAAAUCAGUUUGUAGACGUUGCAAAGAAAAAAUAGGAGGGAAUCAUGUAACAAACUUAAAAAAGCAUGUCCGAACGCAGCACAAGGAGGAAUACGAAGAGUGGUUAAACAAACAAAAGACCGAAGAAGAAGAUAACCUCAAAAACAAAAAACGGAAUCGAGAAGACGAAGAUGCUGCAGCAGGAAGUUCAGCAAAAAAGUUGAAGCAAGGCGACAUAAGAUCGGCUCUCUUUAACGAAGUGACGGUGAAGAUUAACAUGGAGACUAUCGAAAAUGCCUGCAUAAACCUAAUUAUAAAUGGACGUCCUUUGGUUUUGAUGGACGAUGCAGCAUUCCAUAGUAUCAUAGAUCCUAUAUUAGAGGGAUUGAAGACAACAGCCAAAAUCAAUCGGCAAAACAUAAGAAUGAAAGUGAUUGAGAAAGCAGAUGCACAGAGAAAGAAAAUCAGCGGAGAAUUGCGCGGGAAAAUGUUUUCAUUAAAACUUGACAUAUGCACAAAAAGAGGUAGGAGCGUCCUCGGGAUCAACGCCCAAUUUAUCGCAGACGAUGGACAUUUGUACAUCAGAACUUUGGCAGUGUUUGAUUUAGCCGAACGACACACAGGUGUGUACAUUAUUUCUGUAUUGUUGAAAACUUUAAAGACGUACUCGAUAAAUAUUAGUCAAAUAUUUUGCAUGACGACUGACAAUGGAUCCAAUAUGGUAAAGGCGGUGAAAUUAAUGGACGCUGACAUCGAAGCAGCAGAGAUUGAACAACGUGAAGAAAUGGUGCAGCAGCAUACAGGAGAGGAAGAAGAAGAAUGCGGGUUGGACAAUCAGUUUUUCCAAAACGACGAAGAAGAAAUGGGGCAGAUUCGAGGUUUUCGCUGUGCGGCUCAUACCCUACAAUUAACUAUAGCUGAUGUGUGGAAAAGUGGAAAGUACUCCAACGUCUUAGCCAAAGUCCGACGAGCUGUGAAAGAGUUGAAAAAUACAAACGUCGUGAUUCUACUGAAACUAAAGAAGUUGAAUGUGGCCAUAAUAGAUUGCCCAACGAGGUGGUCCUCCACGUACCUUAUGCUGCAACGGCUAAUCUCGCUGAGAGAAUUUUGCGUGGAGUAUGCAGGCUCCUUCCCUAACCUGCACUUGACUGAGGGCACUUGGAAUAUUAUCACAGAGAUGUUAACCUCUCUUCAGCCGUUGGACAUUGCAACAAAGCAACUCCAGUCAGAGGACUUACUCAUGGGUGACUUACUCGCUGCUUGGACCAAUUGCGUUCUUCACCUUAUUUCUGUCGGUACCAACAUCUCGGAAGACUUAUAUAAAGCAAUGCAGAAAAGGCAAGAUAUUCUGUUAGAAAAUGCAAUUUUCUGCAGUUCGGUGUUGAUGGACCCGCGAUAUAAGGGCCUCCUGAGCAAGCAGCAGAAAGAAAAAGCUAUUACUCAUCUACUCACUACGUGGCAAACCAUCAAUCUACUGGAGGCGCCGGUCGAAGAUUCUCAAGAGAUUGGUUCAGCAGCAGAAUGUGCAGAAGAACUACCCCAAACGUCUGCCGAUCCCCUGGAAGGGUUUCUAGCUCAAGCAGAUGAAGCAGCGUCUUCAGCAGAAACGACUCCUCAAAACUCUGAUGAAAUUAAGCGCAUCCUGCAAAAUUACAGCACUCAAAAGAGACCCGUUGACCUGAAGAAUUAUGCUAGUCCCAUGCUGUAUUGGAAGGCAAAGAAGGCGGAUUCUCAUCCCAACUUCGUAUUGUACAAACUUGCUCAGGUGGUUUUAUCAGCUCCUGCCACGCAGGUUAGUGUUGAAAGACUGUUUUCGGGCCUAGCGUUCAUUCUAUCCCCCCUCAGAGCCAGCAUCGCGCCGGACUUGCUGGAAAGUAUCCUGUUGCUCCGGUAUGCUUAA
RNAcentral lists this long non-coding RNA (1923 nucleotides) under Bemisia tabaci. RNAcentral's name for it is "lncRNA ENSSSA1UGG000534". The record is from RNAcentral. Lineage: Eukaryota; Metazoa; Arthropoda; Insecta; Hemiptera; Aleyrodidae.